GAUGAACGCUGGCGGCGUGCCUAAUACAUGCAAGUCGAGCGAACGGACGAGAAGCUUGCUUCUCUGAUGUUAGCGGCGGACGGGUGAGUAACACGUGGAUAACCUACCUAUAAGACUGGGAUCACUUCGGGAAACCGGAGCUAAUACCGGAUAAUAUUUUGAACCGCAUGGUUCAAAAGUGAAAGACGGCCUUGCUGUCUCUUAUAGAUGGAUCCGCGCUGCAUUGGCUAGUUGGUACGGUAACGGCUUACCACGGCAACGAUGCAUAGCCGACCUGAGAGAGUGAUAGGCCACACUGGAACGGAGACACGGUCCAGACGCCUACGGGAGGCAGCAGUAUGGAAUCUUCCGCAGUGGGCGAAAGCCUUGCGGAGCAACGCCGCGUGAGUUGUGAAGGUCUUCGGAUCGUAAAACUCUGUUAUUAGGGAAGAACAUAUGUGUAAGGAACUGUACACAUCUUGACGGUACCUAAUCAGAAAGCCACGGCUAACUACGUG
This 497-nucleotide ribosomal RNA is filed under the name uncultured bacterium. RNAcentral's name for it is "partial 16S ribosomal RNA". It matches the Rfam family "Bacterial small subunit ribosomal RNA", at positions 28 to 507 of the family's 1533-position model. The record is from RNAcentral.